AACAUCGCGCACCUGCGGGAACCUGCGGAGGGAUCAUCAGUGUAUCUGGUUAUCUCACCCUUUGUGCCGUGUCCUUGCGGUGGGUUCGCCGCAUGUUUUUUUAUAUUGCAUUUGCAACGCCUGAGCCUGAUCUGUCGAUUUUAAGAACACACACACAACUUUCAACAACGGAUCU
RNAcentral lists this unclassified non-coding RNA (175 nucleotides) under soil metagenome. RNAcentral describes it as "partial contains 5.8S ribosomal RNA, internal transcribed spacer 2, and large subunit ribosomal RNA". The record is from RNAcentral.